UGAGGAACAUGACCUUCGGCGGGGGAUAGCCGGCCCAACGGCCGGGUAAUACCGCGUACGACCACAUGGGGACAUCCCUGAGUGGUGAAAGCAGCAAUGCGCCGAUGGAGUGCCUCGCGGCCUAUCAGCUAGUUGGUGAGGUAACGGCUCACCAAGGCGACGACGGGUAGCUGGUCUGAGAGGAUGGCCAGCCACAUUGGGACUGAGAUACGGCCCAGACCUCUACGGGAGG
Molecule: ribosomal RNA, 232 nt
Filed under: uncultured bacterium
Lineage: Bacteria
Description: partial 16S ribosomal RNA
Rfam family: Bacterial small subunit ribosomal RNA
Source: RNAcentral